AGUUUUUUGAAUCCGUUCUGAGAUUUCGUCAGACACCAACCCAUUAGGACUGAUCAGACUUACAAGAUAUGUGAAGUU
This 78-nucleotide microRNA precursor is filed under the name Schistosoma mattheei. RNAcentral describes it as "mir-3492 microRNA precursor family". It matches the Rfam family "mir-3492 microRNA precursor family". The record is from Rfam by way of RNAcentral. Lineage: Eukaryota; Metazoa; Platyhelminthes; Trematoda; Strigeidida; Schistosomatidae.